Long non-coding RNA from Acanthochromis polyacanthus (spiny chromis), 526 nucleotides. RefSeq lists it as uncharacterized. Lineage: Eukaryota; Metazoa; Chordata; Actinopteri; Pomacentridae. The transcript has 2 exons. The record is from RefSeq and is a predicted model, not a curated record.
AAAAAAAACAAAACAACACGGCUCCCAGCGCGGCUCCCAAUAAGGAGCCGGCUCCCGUCGGUCACUUGAAAGAUCCGGCUCUAAGAGCCGUUUCGUUCGCAAACGACACAUCACUACACCUUUGCCCUGCGGGGCAAAGAGGUUGUCAAUGAUGACCUACCUGUUGCCGAGAUCCUGGAACGGUGGCCUGCCCUCAAAAUAGAGUCACAGAUCUGAGCUGAGUUUCACAGAAUUACGAACAUGAACCUGAAGAACCACUUCUAUUCUCCUUUGGAUCGACAUUCUCCCCAUCUUCAGAACUUGUUCAGAAAGAAAGCUGCUCGUACUGGGAAAGUGUCUGAAGUUAAAUGUAAUAGAGUUUUUUAUGCAUAUUGCCCAUUUUUAUUAGUUCCAUGAUUUUGGUGAUUUUUACAGCCUUUCAACUGUUUUUGAAGAGUUGAUUGAAUUUCCAUUUCAAAACAAUUUUAUGGCUAAUGUUUGCAUCAUGUUUUAUGGUUACUUAAUAAAGAAGUAACUUGCGGUUAAA